This 542-nucleotide ribosomal RNA is filed under the name Limulus polyphemus (Atlantic horseshoe crab). Its description in RNAcentral is "partial 16S ribosomal RNA". It matches the Rfam family "Bacterial large subunit ribosomal RNA", at positions 1797 to 2619 of the family's 2925-position model. Lineage: Eukaryota; Metazoa; Arthropoda; Merostomata; Xiphosura; Limulidae. The record is from RNAcentral.
CGCCUGUUUAUCAAAAACAUGGUUUUUUGUUUUUAUGAAAAAUCGGACCUGCCCAAUGAGGAGAUUUAAUGGCCGCGGUAUAUUGACCGUGCGAAGGUAGCAUAAUCAUUUGCUUUUUAAUUGAGGGCUAGUAUGAAUGGUUGGACGUAAAAAAAUCUGUCUUGGAAAUAGAUUUUGAAUUUUAUUUUUUAGUGAAAAAGCUGAAAUUUUACUAAGGGACGAGAAGACCCUAUUAAGCUUUACUUUUUUGGUUUUUUUUAUUAAUUUUCGGUUGGGAAAGGCUAAGAGAGUUUUACUGGGGCGGUAGAGAAAGAAACUUAUCUUUUUUUUUAUAAUAAUACUUAUUUGUGAAUUUUUGACCCACUUUUAGUGGUAAUAGGAGUAAGUUACUGUAGGGAUAACAGCGUAAUUUUUUCGGAGAGUUCUUAUCGGCGAAGAAGUUUGCGACCUCGAUGUUGAAUUAAAGAGUCAGUAGGGCGGAGAAGUUCUAUAUGAAGGUCUGUUCGACCUUUAAAUCUUUACGUGAUUUGAGUUCAGACCGG